AAGGCAAAACUCAAAUAAAAUGGUUUGUCUUUCUUUUCUUCAAAGGGUAGAAAUCAAGGGAAGAUGUUGACUCUUCAGUUACCCUGGAGUCAGAAGGAACUUUGUGAACAGAAGAUUUCUCUUCUGAAGGAAAUCAAUGGACUGACUGCUCAGAAAGAAACUGUUUGAAAAUGGCUGUCAUAAUAAAUAGCCAAGUGAUUUCCUGUCUGAAAAUAUGUGUUUCUGCAGGAGGAAAAAAAAGACACCUGCCUAAGGAGAAAAAAUGAUGCAAAUUGAUCCAGAGCUCAAGGGAUGAACUGGAGAGCAAUGGGCACAGAAAUGUUUAAGUCACUAACAACAAAACCCAGUGCCUUCACAUUCAUAGUUCUAGGGCCAAGCUGUCAGAAUGAGAUCCCUGGAGGUGGUCUAGAGGGCUGGCAAAGGGAUAUUUGGCUGGGAGCCUGUCACCAGCUUUGCAAACAACUAGAAACUAAAGGGAUGCCUAUCAAUUGGGAAAUGGCCAAAUAAGUUGUGGUAUGUGUUUAGAAUGGUAUACUAAUUUGCCAUAAGAAAUAACAAACAAG
Molecule: long non-coding RNA, 563 nt
Filed under: Monodelphis domestica (gray short-tailed opossum)
Lineage: Eukaryota; Metazoa; Chordata; Mammalia; Didelphimorphia; Didelphidae
Description: lncRNA (ENSMODG00000036213.2)
Source: RNAcentral